Molecule: long non-coding RNA, 1191 nt
Organism: Cygnus atratus (black swan)
Lineage: Eukaryota; Metazoa; Chordata; Aves; Anseriformes; Anatidae
Exons: 5
Source: RefSeq, a predicted model, not a curated record
UUUCUAGAAUAUGGUUAAAUAAUAGCCCUGAAACAUUUGCGUGGGGUGAUAUUUCUACACAAUGAAAGAAAACUUGAGAUGUCUACUUGGAACUCUUAUUAAUUUGAAAGUCUCCAGUUGUGUUUGUUGCUAGUGGUGGGGGUGGGGGUGUGUAUGUGUGUGUGCAUGGGCAAAUGUAGAGAAGAUGAUGUCAUUGAUGAUAGUGCAACCAACGCUGCCAUCCCAGCUGACUGGAUGGGAUCUUGUAGAAAAGGUGGUUUAACACUGUUUGUUUCACUUUAUGAACUGUUACAUACUGUUUUUGCAGUUCAUAUCUGUAUCUGAAUAUGUUGUUCGCUCUCUUGUUCCAGGAAACAUUUUGAAAUUACCAUGCAAUUUCUUCACCAUUGCUGUAGAAAGAAAAUCUGUGUGUGGCCUUCAAGGCAAAUGGAAAGAAGGGGACAGGGAAAUGUGGCUUCAGAAUCUUACAGUUCCUUCAGAGAGAUCAGUUGGCAUCUAAAGAAAAAAACUGCAGAAACAUCCGAUAUGUGAUGCUUCGAAAACUAUGUCACUAAGUAAGAAGCCCGAAACCGAACACAAUAUUCAAGGUGCAGUCUCACCAGUGCCACAUACAAGAGGACAACCACUUCCCUCGUCCUGCUGGCCACACUACUUCUGAUGCAGGCCAGGAUGCCGUUGGCCUUCUGGGCCAAAUGCUGGCAAUAAAAAUCAUGAAACCAUGUCCACUUGUGGCUUCAUCUGAAUGUUUUUUUCUGCCCAAAAGCAACAAGAAGACAUAUUUGCAAACCCUGUCUUAAAGAAAAAGCAGAUGGACAACCACUACCUUACUAAAUAAAGCCAAUUUGCCAUUGCUGUUGUACUUGCACUUCAGAGACCCAAUCUCAUUUUUUCACACAAGGUUUCUUAAUAAAAAGGUAUAAUUUCUUCUUCAUUGUUCUUCUCAAGGGAUUUGAAGAUUUUAUUUAUUUAUUUAUUUAUCAAGCUGCUUUCUUCAACUUAACAAAAAGGCUAUUUUACGUAGCAAAGGAUACUUUUUUUUAAAACUGUUAAAGUAAUGCCUGAUGCAAUAGGUACAUACAAGUUAUAAUAGGUUCACAUCGCCAAAUUAGUGUAUUCAAAUCAAGUGGACUGGUAUGUUCAGUAAUCAAACCUAUGAUCAGAAUAUUACUCCAUUUUUAGAUGACUUUUUUU